AGAGUUUGAUCCUGGCUCUGAACGAACGCUGAUGGCGUGCCUCAUACAUGCAAGUCGAGCGCCCCGCAAGGGGAGCGACGAACGGGUGAGUAACACGUGAACAAUCUGCCUCAAAGUGGGGGAUAACCAUUCCAACGGAUGGCUAAUACCGCAUAGGGUUCGGAGGGGGCAUCCCUUCCUUACGAAAGCUUCACGCGCUUUGAGAUGAGUUCGCGUCCCAUUAGCUAGUUGGCGGGGUAACGGCCCACCAAGGCAACGAUGGGUAGCCGGCCUGAGAGGGUGUCCGGCCACAUUGGGACUGAGAUACGGCCCAGACUCCUACGGGAGGCAGCAGUAGGGAAUUUUGCGCAAUGGGGGAAACCCUGACGCAGCAACGCCAUGUGUGGGAUGAAGCAUUUCGGAGUGUAAACCACUGUCGGCAGGGAAUAAAGUCCGCGCUUGCGCGGAGGUGAAUGUACCUGCAGAGGAAGCCCCGGCUAACUUCGUGCCAGCAGCCGCGGUA
Molecule: ribosomal RNA, 502 nt
Filed under: uncultured bacterium
Lineage: Bacteria
Description: bacterial SSU rRNA
Rfam family: Bacterial small subunit ribosomal RNA
Source: RNAcentral